Molecule: RNA transcript, 575 nt
Organism: Capra hircus (goat)
Lineage: Eukaryota; Metazoa; Chordata; Mammalia; Artiodactyla; Bovidae
Gene name: 60S ribosomal protein L17 pseudogene
Exons: 1
Source: RefSeq, a predicted model, not a curated record
AUGAUGCUUUUCCACUAAGCAGCCUGAGGUGACCCCUAAAAAUGGUGCGCUAUUCACUUGACCCAGAAAACCCCACAAAAUCAUGCAAAUCAAGAGGUUCAAAUCUUCGUGUUCACUUUAAGAACACUCGUGAAACUGUCCAGGCCAUAAAGGGUAUGCAUACCCGAAAAGCCAGCAAGUAUCUGAAGGAUGUCACUUUAAAGAAGCAAUGUGUGCCAUUCCGCCAUUCCAACGGUGGAGUUGGUAGGUGUGCACAGGCCAAACAGUGGGGCUGAAUUUUUACUACACAUGCUCAAAAAUGCAGAGGGUAAUGCUGAACUUAAGGGCUUAGAUGUAGAUUCUCUGGUCAUUGAGCACAUCCAAGUGAACAAAGCCCCCCAAAUGCGGUGCAGCACUUACAGAGCUCAUGGUCGGAUCCACCCCUACAUGAGCUCUCCCUGCCACACUGAGAUGAUCCUUACUAAGAAAGAACAGAUUGUUCCUAAACCAGAAGAGGAGGCUGCACAGAAGAAAAAGAUAUCCCAGAAGAAACUGAAGAAACAAAAACUUAUGGCCCGGGAAUAAAUGCCGCAAAA